UAUACACAUUUAUCUUCUUUAAGUGAAUUUUUUUUAAAGAAAAUGUUUGGCUGUAGUUGCAGGGAGUUGCUUAUUGUUUCGAUGAUCUUGCUUUUACUUAUGUUUCCUCCAUUGGAAACAGUUAUGGCUGAUGAUCAAACCAAAGUUGUCAAUCCCAGAGAGAAGAAGAGUGAAAGGCAUGAAAAUUUAAAGGAAAAUAAAAUAAAUACUGGUAAGCAUGAUUCACCACCAGCUGGUCAUUACAGUAGGGGUGAUAGUCAUUUGUCUCGGCAAGGUAGAAAGCUGUGGAAUUGAAUGCUAUUUAUACACACCGACCAUCAACAAGUUAAGCUCUUCAAUGUAGUGUAUAUGUAUAUUUAUAAAGACAGCAAGGCUUAAUUAUUAGUCAGUUUUUAUUUAUGUGAUAAUGAAGUUGUAUUUAGAAUAAUGAAAAAAUAAAUAAAAUAAAAAUAAGAAUGACCUUGCUUAUAUA
Long non-coding RNA from Hevea brasiliensis (rubber tree), 472 nucleotides. RefSeq lists it as uncharacterized. The record is from RefSeq and is a predicted model, not a curated record. The transcript is spliced from 2 exons. Lineage: Eukaryota; Viridiplantae; Streptophyta; Magnoliopsida; Malpighiales; Euphorbiaceae.